Molecule: ribosomal RNA, 253 nt
Filed under: uncultured bacterium
Lineage: Bacteria
Description: partial 16S ribosomal RNA
Rfam family: Bacterial small subunit ribosomal RNA
Source: RNAcentral
UACGUAGGGGGCGAGCGUUGUCCGGAUUCAUUGGGCGUAAAGAGCGUGUAGGCGGCCAGGUAGGUCGGUUGUGAAAACUGGAGGCUCAACCUUCAGAGGUCGACCGAAACCAUCUGGCUAGAGUCCGGGAGAGGAGAGUGGAAUUCCUGGUGUAGCGGUGAAAUGCGCAGAUAUCAGGAAGAACACCCGUGGCGAAAGCGGCUCUCUAGAACGGUACUGACGCUGAGACGCGAAAGCGUGGGGAGCGAACAGG